CGCACAUUGCGCCCCUCGGUAUUCCGGGGGGCAUACCUGUCCGAGCGUCAUUAACACUCUCAAGCCGAGCUUGGUAUUGGGCGUCGCUCUCUUAACAAAGGGCGUGCCUGAAAAGUAGUGGCGGUCCGAUGUGACUUGAGGCGUAGUAAAUCUCUCCCCGUCUUGCAAGUUUCACAUCGCGUCCAGCCAGAAAUGGGAGUCGCUCCGGCGGUCCCCUCCAACGAUUGACCUCGGAUCAGGUAGGGAUACCCGCUGAACUUAA
Molecule: unclassified non-coding RNA, 262 nt
Filed under: Bacidina arnoldiana
Lineage: Eukaryota; Fungi; Ascomycota; Lecanoromycetes; Lecanorales; Ramalinaceae
Description: partial contains 5.8S ribosomal RNA, internal transcribed spacer 2, and large subunit ribosomal RNA
Source: RNAcentral